Molecule: long non-coding RNA, 1234 nt
Organism: Zalophus californianus (California sea lion)
Lineage: Eukaryota; Metazoa; Chordata; Mammalia; Carnivora; Otariidae
Exons: 3
Source: RefSeq, a predicted model, not a curated record
GUCCUUGCACCUGCUGUUCCCUGAGGUGUAAGGCAGGGAGUCACCGGGUCCCAGCUGAGGAACCCCUUUACCAGGCCAGACAAGUGGGAACCAGACAGCCUGGAGAGUCAGAGCCAGAGAGAAAGCGCCUUCCCUCCUCCGGCGAUUCCAGCACUCCUUCACAAGGCGAGAUGAAUUGAUUGUGAGCCUCCUUGAAAAAAAAGAAAGAAAGAGAAGAAAAGGCAUUCUGAUCAUUGUUGCCAGAUGUCUCAAGCAAGCCUGCCAAGCUGGGGCUAGAAAUGCAGCCUCAAAAUAGUAGGCAUGGGAUUGUCCCAUCAGCCAAUUAGGGCCCUGAGAGCAAAUUAGCUCUUGUUUCCCAUUGGCCAGAACAUCUGUGACCUGCACAUGGACAGCCCAGGGACAUUCUAGCCAGCAUCCCCGACUCUGGCCAAUUGCUGUUGGCAUCUGAAAAGGCCACAGAUAACAGUCAGUCCACAGUCUUUAAAAACUGCCCUGUUGAACACCUCAGUUCACUUCCUAGGAAAAUCGCCAUGGCCAUCCCUGGAGACCAGGGCAUUAUCCAGGCAAAAUAAUCCCUGUGGUUGGAAUAGUUGCACAGGGCAAAGCCCUCACUAAAGUUGCUCUCUAGAGACAAGGUCUUAGUCUCAGGUAAGGGGGCCCUUACAUACAGGCUCCCCCCGCUUGGCAGAGAAAUCAACUAGAUUUGUUCCAUGGGAAAUCUAUAAGAAUGAAAGCUGAGUAAUCGAGCAACAGACAGCACAGCACGGCCUUCUUGAAUAACCAUCAUCUCAAAUUGGAGAUUGCAUUUGCCAUCAAUUUUAAAAGACACAUUUCAACAAGAAGCCAUGGGAGACAUGGAACCCUAAAGACCAGUUCAUCUGUAAGGAACAAAGCAACGCUGUGGGAGGAAGUCUCAUCUACAAAGGUCAGCUCUUGGCAACAUAUGCCCACUGGGCAGCCAGGAACUCUUUAGAAACUGUUCAAUGGUGCUGCAGGACUGGCAUCAGGACCAGAAUUAAGAAAUUACUAUUGGCAGCAAAGAGUAAUUUGGUAGCAAUGGCUCCCAAAAAGCCUCAAAAAUAUCCAUAUUUUAUGAUCCACCAAUUUUACUUCUGAGGAUUUACCCCAAGAAGCGACCCAUAUAUUUGCACGAAGAUUUAUCCCUAAACAUGCUCAUUAUACUGUUUGAGAAAAAAAAUUGAAGCAUAAAUUUGAACCCAAUGCAGUCAUGAAA